Long non-coding RNA from Alosa sapidissima (American shad), 104 nucleotides. RefSeq lists it as uncharacterized. The transcript is spliced from 3 exons. The record is from RefSeq and is a predicted model, not a curated record. NCBI's taxonomy places the organism in Eukaryota, Metazoa, Chordata, Actinopteri, Clupeiformes, Clupeidae.
GAGAAGAGAGUUCACAGUGCAUAUUAAAGUAUGGAAACACUCUCUCAGUGAAAGUGUGUGUGAGAGUGUGUAGGUGUGUGUUAUUAUCAGGGUCAGAGAAUGAC